CUACGGAGGGUGCAAGCGUUACUCGGAAUCACUGGGCGUAGAGCGCGCGUAGGCGGAUCGUUAAGUCAGGGGUGAAAGCCCGGAGCUCAACUCCGGAACUGCCCUUGAUACUGGCGAUCUCGAGUCCGGGAGAGGUGAGCGGAAUUCCUAGUGUAGAGGUGAAAUUCGUAGAUAUUAGGAGGAACACCAGUGGCGAAGGCGGCUCACUGGCCCGGUACUGACGCUGAGGUGCGAAAGCGUGGGGAGCAAACAGGAUUAGAAACCCUAGUAGUCC
Molecule: ribosomal RNA, 274 nt
Filed under: uncultured bacterium
Lineage: Bacteria
Description: partial 16S ribosomal RNA
Rfam family: Bacterial small subunit ribosomal RNA
Source: RNAcentral